GAACAACAGUAUAUGAGCAUAGUAAUAUAAAUUUUCAACACCACUUUCUCCCUGAAGGGUGGAUAGAGUCGUUGAAAAAGUGACUUUGAUAAAAGCACUGAAGAGAUUGCCACCCAUGGACAGUAGGAGUAAAUUAUAACCACCAAAAAGACAAAAAUUACGAGGGAGAAAUAAUACAAUUAAGGUCUCUAUACAACCAAAUAUGUAAAGUACAGAAUCACCACCCUUAAACUCCAAGGAAUUUCUGCAUUUAUUUCACUCCCUCCAAGUAUUUCACUAAAUGCCAAAAAAGAUAGCUUCCUACACCUGACCGUGCAGUUCACCCUAUAUUGAGUCCUCUGAGCACUGCACUCUAGGUCUAAAUUAAAAAAUUAAGGGGGAAAAAAAAGAUGAAUAUCAACAUAUAAUGCUCAGAAAAUACCUGAAUCAGCAUCUUCACAAAAUG
Molecule: unclassified non-coding RNA, 445 nt
Filed under: Hevea brasiliensis (rubber tree)
Lineage: Eukaryota; Viridiplantae; Streptophyta; Magnoliopsida; Malpighiales; Euphorbiaceae
Source: RNAcentral